GGUUAACGCUGGCGGCGUGCCUUACACAUGCAAGUCGAACGGGGCUAUCAGCGAUGGUAGCUUAGUGGCGAACGGGUGAGGAAGACGCAGGGACCUACCGACCAGAGGGGGAUACCCGUCUGGAAACGGCGGAUAAAACCGCAUACGCCCGGGUGAAAGCCCGGGGAAAAGCACUACGGUGUUACUGGACGAGGGACCUGCGGCCCAUCAGGUAGUUGGGGAGGUAACGGCUCACCAAGCCGACGACGGGUAUCUGGCGUGAGAGCGCGAACAGGCACAAGGACACUGAGAGACGGGUCCUACUCCUACGGGAGGCAGCAGUGGGGAAUAUUGGACAAUGGGCGAAAGCCUGAUCCAGCGACGCCGCGUGUCGGAAGGAGUCCUUCGGGAUGUAAACGACUUUUGGUGGAGACGAAUAAGCAGCUCAGGGAAUGGGGCUGUGAUGACGGUAUCCAUGGAAUAAGCCCCGGCUAACUACGUG
RNAcentral lists this ribosomal RNA (481 nucleotides) under uncultured bacterium. RNAcentral's name for it is "bacterial SSU rRNA". It matches the Rfam family "Bacterial small subunit ribosomal RNA", at positions 28 to 507 of the family's 1533-position model. The record is from RNAcentral.